RNAcentral lists this ribosomal RNA (201 nucleotides) under uncultured bacterium. RNAcentral describes it as "partial 16S ribosomal RNA". It matches the Rfam family "Bacterial small subunit ribosomal RNA", at positions 1300 to 1500 of the family's 1533-position model. The record is from RNAcentral.
GUAGUCUGCAACCCGACUACAUGAAGCUGGAAUCGCUAGUAAUCGCAGAUCAGAAUGCUGCGGUGAAUACGUUCCCGGGUCUUGUACACACCGCCCGUCACACCAUGGGAGUUGGAAAUGCCCGAAGUCGGUGACCUAACCGAAAGGGAGGAGCCGCCGAAGGCAGGUCUGAUAACUGGGGUGAAGUCGUAACAAGGUAUC